ACAGAGUAACAGUGGGCAGGGUUUGUGUAGCACUGUAUCAUCUCAGUUUGGGCGAUCAUUGACCACGGCAGAUGGUCGUUGUGAGAAUCAUUUUGUUUUUUCUUCUUUUCUCUUGCCUGUGGCCUGUGGGGAAUAAGCACUUUGAAUUAAUCAACUACCUUUAUCGUUCAUCAUAAAUUGGUUCAAAAUCAGUUUGGAUUAAAAAAAAAUACAUAUAGAAUGUGAAACUAUUGAUAUAAGUUCACGUAUUAAGCAUGUGUACAAUUUAAGCAAUUAUUGGCCAAAUAUACAAAGUAUGACCUUUUGAAACCUAAUAUAAUAUGGCCUACAUUUUGAAGUGGAAGGGGUAACUUGGCUAUCCCAGUGUCAUGUAUUAAAUGAUAUGAACUAAUUUAGGUAUAUGUAUAUAUAAAACGAUAUGCACUAAUUUUGAUAUUCUAGCAUCAUGUAUGUGUGUAUAAAAUAUAGACUCCAUUCUAAAUCAUAGGUUGUU
Molecule: long non-coding RNA, 493 nt
Filed under: Sorghum bicolor (sorghum)
Lineage: Eukaryota; Viridiplantae; Streptophyta; Magnoliopsida; Poales; Poaceae
Description: long non-coding RNA (SBIC_LNC013186)
Source: RNAcentral